CCUACGGGAGGCAGCAGUGAGGAAUAUUGGUCAAUGGACGCAAGUCUGAACCAGCCAUGCCGCGUGCAGGAAGACGGCUCUAUGAGUUGUAAACUGCUUUUGUACGAGGGUAAAUGCCGAUACGUGUAUCGGGUUGAAAGUAUCGUACGAAUAAGGAUCGGCUAACUACGUGCCAGCAGCCGCGGUAAUACGGAGGAGGCAAGCGUUAUCCGGAUUUACUGGGUGUAAAGGGGGCGCAGACGGCAAUGUAAGCUAGGGGUGAAAGCCCGGGGCCCAACCCCGGGACUGCCCUUAGAACUGCAGGGCUAGAGAAUAGGAGGGGCAGGCGGAAUGCAUGGUGUAGCGGUGAAAUGCGUAGAGAUUAGAAAGAACACCGGUGGCGAAGGCAGCCUGCUGGACUGUAACUGACGUUGAGGCCCGAAGGCGUGGGGAGCAAACAGGAUUAGAUACCCGUGUAGUC
RNAcentral lists this ribosomal RNA (460 nucleotides) under uncultured bacterium. Its description in RNAcentral is "partial 16S ribosomal RNA". It matches the Rfam family "Bacterial small subunit ribosomal RNA", at positions 338 to 795 of the family's 1533-position model. The record is from RNAcentral.